UGGUGGGGUGACUUGUCUGCUUAAUUGCGAUAACGAACGAGACCUUAACCUGCUAAAUAGCCCGCAUUGCUCCGGCAGUGCGCUGGCUUCUUAGAGGGACUUUCGGGCUCAAGCCCGAAGGAAGUUUGAGGCAAUAACA
RNAcentral lists this ribosomal RNA (139 nucleotides) under uncultured eukaryote. RNAcentral describes it as "partial 18S ribosomal RNA". It matches the Rfam family "Eukaryotic small subunit ribosomal RNA", at positions 1299 to 1458 of the family's 1831-position model. The record is from RNAcentral.